ACAAAGGCAUUGAAGAGAAAAAGUAAAACAGAUCCGUUUUUCCCAGAGAGCUUCGGCAGGUGAAAAGAAGCAAAAGCGGCUGUUUGAACAAUGGUCUCCGAGCCCCGUACUGAACGCGAUCUUCGCCAGUAGGCUGCGGCAAGUAGUGGUACUUGUUAUCAAACCCACAGUAUAAGGGCAUCUAUAUGCCCCGUACUUGCAGAGGCCGAAAGGCGAAUAAAGGUGGUACCGCGGGCAAGCCCCGUCCUUUUC
Molecule: non-coding RNA, 252 nt
Filed under: Bacillus infantis
Lineage: Bacteria; Bacillati; Bacillota; Bacilli; Caryophanales; Bacillaceae
Description: T-box sequence
Rfam family: T-box leader
About the family: Uncharged tRNA acts as the effector for transcription antitermination of genes in the T-box leader family. T-boxes are found upstream of many aminoacyl-tRNA synthetase genes and some amino acid biosynthetic genes usually in Gram-positive bacteria.
Source: RNAcentral